RNAcentral lists this ribosomal RNA (467 nucleotides) under Geomitra watsoni. RNAcentral describes it as "partial large subunit ribosomal RNA". The record is from RNAcentral. Lineage: Eukaryota; Metazoa; Mollusca; Gastropoda; Stylommatophora; Geomitridae.
GAUUUCAAUAAGUUAGUUAAUACUAAUACACGAAAAAUGAUGAGCUAAUUAUAUUAGAUUAAUAGAUCUUAAAUUAUAUGUAGCAACAUAUAAGGAAUAAGUUUAAUUAGGGGUGAUAGGCUUUUCAAAUUGUUUGAUAACUUGAUCUGCAGGAAAAAUAUUUAGUAUUAAGACACUUAAGAAAUGGUUAGGUUUCUUAAAAACAUUAAAAGAAUUAAUUUUGGUGCAGGUAAUUUAAUCAUUUCUGUUUAUAACUGUUAAUAAUUGUAUUUUAUUAAUUUAUGAAUACUACUGUAGCAACUUCUCGAUUUCAUGUGGAGAAGUUAGUUAAUGAAAAUAUUAGUAUUAUAAUAUAUUUUAAGCAGGAACUCGGCAAAAAGUUUUGCUCAACUGUUUAACAAAAACAUAGCUAAAUGUGUUUAUAUUUAGUUUUCUCUGCUCAAUGGUUUAUCUAAAUAGCCGCAGUA